Molecule: transfer RNA, 540 nt
Filed under: uncultured cyanobacterium
Lineage: Bacteria; Bacillati; Cyanobacteriota
Description: partial 16S-23S ribosomal RNA intergenic spacer
Rfam family: tRNA (bases 212-284)
Source: RNAcentral
CAGGGAGACAACAAAAUGUUUAAUAUUAUUAUUUUGUCACCUUAGGCCGAUCGGUAUCUCACGUUUUUAAUUUAUUAAAAAUUUCAUUUCCUAAGUUUUUCUAGGUCACACCCAUUAUUUUUCCUGGGCCAUUAGCUCAGGUGGUUAGAGCGCACCCCUGAUAAGGGUGAGGUCCCUGGUUCAAGUCCAGGAUGGCCCAUAUCUCUAUGUUGGGGGUAUAGCUCAGUUGGUAGAGCGCCUGCUUUGCAAGCAGGAUGUCAGCGGUUCGAGUCCGCUUACCUCCACUGAUUACCACCUCUUACAUAAUCUGUAUAAAGGAAAUGUUUUGAGUUGUGAUCAAAUUCUGAACGAAUCUAGCUUCCUAAUGAAAUCAUUAAGAUGCUGGACUCAUUGAAUUAAUUUCAUUGUUUUCAGAGAACCUUGACAACUGCAUAGAUUAUUUUUAAAGACAAUAAGCAUCUUUAAUGAUGCAGAUUUAUUAUUUGUGCGAAUGCAUUAAUAACAAUUCUAUUAUGCUGAUGCUUCAAUUUUGAAGUUAUU